CAUGCGGGAUUCGAAGUACAACCAUGCCUCGCGAUAGUGCAGGCGCCCACGCGCCACGGCGCGCUCGGCGAUCGCAUCGGCAAGCGCAUGCUGAGCGUCGAUGCCGGCAGCCGAGACAUUCAGGCUUGCGAGCGGCGAGAUCGGGAACCGGCCAUUGAAUUUCGUGAACGCAUCGCCCGAGCCGUAUGGGAUGGGAGCAUCGAAGCCGUAUCGGAUUCUCCCGUCGCCCAGUUCGCGGAAGCGCGUGCCGUGUCCGAACACUUCGUGCGCCACGACCAGGAACAAGUGAUCCUGUG
This 296-nucleotide unclassified non-coding RNA is filed under the name uncultured fungus. RNAcentral describes it as "sequence contains ITS1". Lineage: Eukaryota; Fungi. The record is from RNAcentral.